ACACUUAAGUUUUUUAUUUUCUUAAUUUUAGAAAACAGAAAAUUGUUCUAGAAACAGUAAACAAACACACCCUUAAUCUUAACCUUUCCAAAUCUUUCUUAAAUUUUUCUUACUUAUUCUCACUGUUACCAUAUUCUCUGGUAUCUGUAUCUAUUUUUCUCUAGUUGCUUGUUCUUCACGUGCCUCGGGCCUUCAUUGAUUUUCUUUCUCAAGCUUUCAUUUCUUUUUGCUUUGAGUUUUUUACCUGCCCUCUAUCAUGUAUUGAAGCUUACAAGUGGCUUUUCAUUUGUGAAGAGUGUUAUUUAUAU
RNAcentral lists this long non-coding RNA (308 nucleotides) under Phaseolus vulgaris (common bean). Its description in RNAcentral is "long non-coding RNA (PVUL_LNC001326)". The record is from RNAcentral. Lineage: Eukaryota; Viridiplantae; Streptophyta; Magnoliopsida; Fabales; Fabaceae.